This 565-nucleotide ribosomal RNA is filed under the name uncultured bacterium. Its description in RNAcentral is "partial 16S ribosomal RNA". It matches the Rfam family "Bacterial small subunit ribosomal RNA", at positions 355 to 932 of the family's 1533-position model. The record is from RNAcentral.
UGGGGAAUAUUGCACAAUGGGCGCAAGCCUGAUGCAGCGACGCCGCGUGAGGGAUGACGGCCUUCGGGUUGUAAACCUCUUUCAGCAGGGACGAAGCGCGAGUGACGGUACCUGCAGAAGAAGCACCGGCCAACUACGUGCCAGCAGCCGCGGUAAUACGUAGGGUGCGAGCGUUGUCCGGAAUUACUGGGCGUAAAGAGCUCGUAGGCGGUUUGUCGCGUCGUCUGUGAAAUUCUGCAGCUUAACUGCAGGCGUGCAGGCGAUACGGGCAGACUUGAGUACUACAGGGGAGACUGGAAUUCCUGGUGUAGCGGUGAAAUGCGCAGAUAUCAGGAGGAACACCGGUGGCGAAGGCGGGUCUCUGGGUAGUAACUGACGCUGAGGAGCGAAAAGCGUGGGUAGCGAACAGGAUUANGAUACCCUGGUAGUCCACGCCGUAAAACGGUGGGUACUAGGUGUGGGUUCCAUUUCACGGGAUCCGUGCCGUAGCUAACGCAUUAAGUACCCCGCCUGGGGAGUACGGCCGCAAGGCUAAAACUCAAAUGAAUUGACGGGGUCAUAGCUG